Molecule: ribosomal RNA, 348 nt
Filed under: Gemmatimonadota bacterium
Lineage: Bacteria; Pseudomonadati; Gemmatimonadota
Description: bacterial SSU rRNA
Rfam family: Bacterial small subunit ribosomal RNA
Source: RNAcentral
UCAUUGGAGAGUUUGAUCCUGGCUCAGGACGAACGCUGGCGGCGUGCCUAACACAUGCAAGUCGAACGGGACCGGGGGCAACUCCGGUUCAGUGGCGGACGGGUGCGUAACACGUGAGGAACAUGACUUUCGGCGGGGGAUAGCCGGCCCAACGGCCGGGUAAUACCGCGUACGACCGCAUGGGGACAUCCCCGAGCGGUGAAAGCAGCAAUGCACCGAAAGAGUGCCUCGCGGCCUAUCAGCUAGUUGGUGAGGUAACGGCUCACCAAGGCGACGACGGGUAGCUGGUCUGAGAGGAUGGCCAGCCACAUUGGGACUGAGACACGGCCCAGACUCCUACGGGAGGCA